CGGAUCAAUAAACACUAUAUUAGGAUAUCCACGUUAUCAUUGCAGUCUUAUCAUAUAAUAUCUAUUAUUUUUAAUUUUCACAAAAAAAAUUGUAUAUGGACGUUAUUUAUAAAGUAGCUUGCAGUUUGCACUGCUAGGAGUUGCCCAAUCCCUUGGCAGUUUCAAACUAAGGAUGUCAUCAUCAUAUUGAGGCUUGAAAUCCAACUAAAGAAAUAAAAUGCAUGAAAUCAAACAAAACGGUGGCAAUGAGACAUAUUAUAGAACACUUCGAAUGCAACUCUAUAAACCUAUAUAAGUUAAACCAAGAUGGCCUCUGUCACAUGCAGAAACCAAAACUACAAGCUACCCAUCUGGUAAGACUGGUUGCCACUCGGUGAUUUGAGAUUGCACAUGAUGGCUGAGCACCACCUCUCCUUAGUUCUUGAAAAAACUGUCCCUAUUCUCAUCGUUCUCGCACCUGGUUCUUCUUCCCUCACCAUCCCAUCUUCUGGCACCUGGUUCUUCUCUCACAUGCUAAAUCGUUGUUCCCUUUUCACUAGUUUCUCUCUCUCUAAUCUCUGGUUCUUCUUUCUCUCUAAUCGUUAUAGGGAAAUUGAAGAUCUGGAAAAGUUGAAUACUCUUCUUGGAUUAUUU
RNAcentral lists this long non-coding RNA (633 nucleotides) under Manihot esculenta (cassava). RNAcentral's name for it is "long non-coding RNA (MESC_LNC007828)". Lineage: Eukaryota; Viridiplantae; Streptophyta; Magnoliopsida; Malpighiales; Euphorbiaceae. The record is from RNAcentral.